UGGAGCGGUGUCCGAGCGGUUUAAGGAGGCGGUCUUGAAAACCGUUGUGCCGAAAGGUACCGGGGGUUCGAAUCCCCCCUGCUCCGU
This 87-nucleotide transfer RNA is filed under the name Spirochaetes bacterium ADurb.Bin215. RNAcentral's name for it is "tRNA-Ser". It matches the Rfam family "tRNA". Rfam says of the family: Transfer RNA (tRNA) molecules are approximately 80 nucleotides in length. Their secondary structure includes four short double-helical elements and three loops (D, anti-codon, and T loops). Lineage: Bacteria; Pseudomonadati; Spirochaetota. The record is from RNAcentral.